RNAcentral lists this microRNA precursor (86 nucleotides) under Medicago truncatula (barrel medic). RNAcentral's name for it is "mir-160 microRNA precursor family". It matches the Rfam family "mir-160 microRNA precursor family". From Rfam's summary of the family: The hairpin precursors (represented here) are predicted based on base pairing and cross-species conservation -- their extents are not known. In this case the mature sequence is excised from the 5' arm of the hairpin. The record is from Rfam by way of RNAcentral. Lineage: Eukaryota; Viridiplantae; Streptophyta; Magnoliopsida; Fabales; Fabaceae.
GUGUGCCUGGCUCCCUGUAUGCCAUUUGUAGAGUCCAUCACGACAGUGAUGAACUUAGUGAAUGGCGUACUCGGAGUCAUGCAUGC